GACGAACGCUGGCGGCGUGCUUAACACAUGCAAGUCGAACGCUGAAGCUCAGCUUUUGUUGGGUGGAUGAGUGGCGAACGGGUGAGUAACACGUGAGUAACCUGCCUCCUUCUUUGGGAUAACGCCCGGAAACGGGUGCUAAUACUGGAUAUUCACUGGUCUUCGCAUGGGGGUUGGUGGAAAGGGUUUUUCUGGUGGGGGAUGGGCUCGCGGCCUAUCAGCUUGUUGGUGGGGUGAUGGCCUACCAAGGCUUUGACGGGUAGCCGGCCUGAGAGGGUGACCGGUCACAUUGGGACUGAGAUACGGCCCAGACUCCUACGGGAGGCAGCAGUGGGGAAUAUUGCACAAUGGGCGCAAGCCUGAUGCAGCGACGCCGCAUGAGGGAUGGAGGCCUUCGGGUUGUGAACCUCUUUCGCUCAUGGUCAAGCCGCAACAAUGGUUGUGGUGAGGGUAGUGGGUAAAGAAGCGCCGGCUAACUACGUG
Molecule: ribosomal RNA, 483 nt
Filed under: uncultured bacterium
Lineage: Bacteria
Description: partial 16S ribosomal RNA
Rfam family: Bacterial small subunit ribosomal RNA
Source: RNAcentral